UACGGAGGGAGCUAGCGUUAAUCGGAAUUACUGGGCGUAAAGCGUGCGCAGGCGGUUUUGUAAGUCUGACGUGAAAUCCCCGGGCUCAACCUGGGAAUUGCGUUGGAGACUGCAAGGCUAGAAUCUGGCAGAGGGGGGUAGAAUUCCACGUGUAGCAGUGAAAUGCGUAGAGAUGUGGAGGAACACCGAUGGCGAAGGCAGCCCCCUGGGUCAAGAUUGACGCUCAUGCACGAAAGCGUGGGGAGCAAACAGG
RNAcentral lists this ribosomal RNA (253 nucleotides) under uncultured bacterium. RNAcentral's name for it is "partial 16S ribosomal RNA". It matches the Rfam family "Bacterial small subunit ribosomal RNA", at positions 524 to 776 of the family's 1533-position model. The record is from RNAcentral.